Long non-coding RNA from Solanum pennellii, 495 nucleotides. RefSeq lists it as uncharacterized. NCBI's taxonomy places the organism in Eukaryota, Viridiplantae, Streptophyta, Magnoliopsida, Solanales, Solanaceae. The transcript has 2 exons. The record is from RefSeq and is a predicted model, not a curated record.
CCUCUUUCAAACCAAGAUUUUUUUUUUCCUCUCUUUAAAACGAUUUGUGCUCAUAUUUUGUGCAAAUGGCUUCUAAUUUUUUUUUGUCAUUGUGGAAAAAGAGCUAUAAUAAAGAUUUCUUGGUCUGCAAAUAAUCCAGGUCAUUGGUUUUUUGGAUGUGAAGAUGAUCGGGUUGGAUGCAAGUUUUUUAGGCAGUGUAAACUUGAUUAUAUUGAACACGCUAGAAUUGCUAUUUCGGAAUUACAAAAGAGGAUAAAAAACAUGAUGAAGAAAAGGAAAAGAUUAGGAGGAAAUAUCGACUUUUGCUGAUCAUUGUGAUACUAUCUUGGAUUUAUAGAGAGUUCUUUAUGUAGUAAAUGUUAUGUAUAUUGGUUGAAAAAAUUAUGCCAGAAUUGUUUUGUUCGUAAUGUAGCUUUCUUUAUGGGUUAGGGGCUGUCAAUAUGUAUUGUAAGCAAUCAAAGUAAUGGAUUGAAAUGCACUAUUUUAGAGUUGACA